AAAUCCGUCGACUUUAAAAAUCAUGAGGGUUCAAGUCCCUCUAUCCCCA
Molecule: transfer RNA, 49 nt
Filed under: Salicornia europaea (common glasswort)
Lineage: Eukaryota; Viridiplantae; Streptophyta; Magnoliopsida; Caryophyllales; Amaranthaceae
Description: partial tRNA-Leu
Source: RNAcentral